AGUUUGAUUCUGGCUCAGAUUGAACGCUAUGGAACAUGCAAGUCGAACGGCAGCAUGACUUCGGUCUGGUGGCGAGUGGCGAACGGGUGAGUAAUGGGACUGGAGCGUGCCUAGUAGCGUGGGAUAAUUACGCGAAAGCAGCCAAUACCUCAAGGCUGCCCUUUCGGGGGAAAGCGGGGACUCUUCGGGCCUCGCACUAUUAGAGCGGCCGAUAUCGGAUUAGCUAGUUGGUGGGGUAACGGCUCACCAAGGGCGACGAUCCGUAGCUGGUUUGAGAGCACGACCAGCCACACUGGGACUGAGACACGGCCCAGACUUACGGGAGGCAGCAGUGGGAAUUUUGGACAAUGGGGAAACUUCGAUCCAGCCAUCUCGCGUGUGCGAUGAAGGCCUUUCGCUGUAAAGCACUUUUGGCAGGAAAGAAACGGCACGGGAUACCCGUGCAACUGACGGUACCUGCAGAAUAAGCACCGGCUAACCAUUACGUGCCAGCAGCCGCGGUAGGUGCUGCUAACUGGAAUUACUGGGCGUAAAGCGUGCGCAGGCGGUUCGGAAAAAGGAAGAUGUGAAACCCAGAGCUUAAUCCUUGGAACUGCAUUUUUAACUACCGAGCUAGGAGGCGUGUCAGAGGGAGGUGAAUUCCGCGUGUAGCAGUGAAAUGCGUAGAUAUGCGGAGGAACACCGAUAUGAAGGCAGCCUCCUGGGAUAACACUGACGCUCAUGCACGGAAAGCGUGGGGAGCAAACAGGAUUAGAUACUCCUGGUAGUCCACGCCCUAAACGAUGGGUCAACUAGCUGUUGGGGCCUUCGCCUUGGUAGCGCAGCUAACGCGUGAAGUUGACCGCCUGGGGAGUACGGUCGCAAGAUUAAAACUCAAAUGAAUUGACGGGACCCGCACAAGCGUGGAUGAUGUGGAUUAAUUCGAUGCAACGCGAAAACCUUACCUACCCUUGACAUGUCUGGAAUCCCGGAAGAGAUUUGGGAGUGCUCGCAAGAGAACCGGAACACAGGUGCUGCAUGGCUGUCGUCAGCUCGUGUCGUGAGAUGUUGGGUUAAGUCCUGCAACGAGCGCAACCCUUGUCAUUAGUUGCUACGAAAGGGCACUCUAAUGAGACUGCCGGUGACAAACCGGAGGAAGGUGGGGAUGGACGUCAAGUCCUCAUGGCCCUAUGGGUAGGGCUUCACACGUCAUACAAUGGUCGGGACAGAGGGUCGCCAACCCGCGAGGGGGAGCCAAUCCCAGAAACCCGAUCGUAGUCCGGAUCGCAGUUCGCAACUCGACUGUGAAGUCGGAAUCGCUAGUAAUCGCGGAUCAGCAUGUCGCGGUGAAUACGUUCCCGGGUCUUGUACACACCGCCCGUCACACCAUGAGGUUUACCAGAAGUAGUUAGCCUAACCGUAAGGAGGCGAUUACCACGGUAGGAUUCAUGACUGGGGUGAAGUCGUAACAAGGUAG
This 1456-nucleotide ribosomal RNA is filed under the name uncultured Bordetella sp. Its description in RNAcentral is "partial 16S-23S ribosomal RNA intergenic spacer". It matches the Rfam family "Bacterial small subunit ribosomal RNA". The record is from RNAcentral. Lineage: Bacteria; Pseudomonadati; Pseudomonadota; Betaproteobacteria; Burkholderiales; Alcaligenaceae.